GACGAACGCUGGCGGCGCGCUUAACACAUGCAAGUCGAACGGAAAGGCCUGCUUUCCCUUGUGGAUUGCGGGUACUCGAGUGGCGAACGGGUGAGUAACACGUGAGUGAUCUGCCCCCAACUUGGGUAUAAGCCUGGGAAACUGGGUCUAAUUCCCGAUAGGACUGCAGGGUGGUGCCUGUGGUGGAAAACGAUGUUCUAGUGGUUGGGGAUGAGCUCGCGGCCUAUCAGCUUGUUGGUGGGGUAAUGGCCUACCGAGGCGGCGACGGGUAGCCGGCCUGGGAGGGUGGACGGCCACAUUGGGACUGAGAUACGGCCCAGACGCCUACGGGAGGCAGCAGUGGGGAAUAAUGCGCAAUGGGCGGAAGCCUGAUGCAGCGACGCUGCGUGGGGGAUGCCGGCCUUCGGGUUGUAGACUCCUUUCGACCGCGAGGAAGCCACCUGGUUGGAAGGGUGGUGACGGUAGUGGUAGAAGAAGCACCGGCUAACUACGUG
Molecule: ribosomal RNA, 494 nt
Filed under: uncultured bacterium
Lineage: Bacteria
Description: partial 16S ribosomal RNA
Rfam family: Bacterial small subunit ribosomal RNA
Source: RNAcentral